CGGGGUACACGAGCGGCGAACGGGUGAGUAACACGUGAGCAACCUGCCCCUGACUCUGGGAUAAGCGGUGGAAACGCCGUCUAAUACCGGAUACGACCCGCCACCUCAUGGUGGAGGGUGGAAAGUUUUUCGGUCAGGGAUGGGCUCGCGGCCUAUCAGCUUGUUGGUGGGGUAACGGCCUACCAAGGCGAUUACGGGUAGCCGGCCUGAGAGGGCGACCGGCCACACUGGGACUGAGACACGGCCCAGACUCCUGCGGGAGGCAGCAGUGGGGAAUAUUGCGCAAUGGGCGAAAGCCUGACGCAGCGACGCCGCGUGGGGGAUGACGGCCUUCGGGUUGUAAACCUCUUUUACCACCAACGCAGGCUUCCAGUUCUCUGGAGGUUGACGGUAGGUGGGGAAUAAGGACCGGCUAACUACGUGCCAGCAGCCGCGGUAAUACGUAGGGUCCGAGCGUUGUCCGGAAUUAUUGGGCGUAAAGAGCUCGUAGGCGGCGUGUCGCGUCUGCUGUGAAAGACCGGGGCUUAACUCCGGUUCUGCAGUGGAUACGGGCAUGCUAGAGGUAGGUAGGGGAGACUGGAAUUCCUGGUGUAGCGGUGAAAUGCGCAGAUAUCAGGAGGAACACCGGUGGCGAAGGCGGGUCUCUGGGCCUUACCUGACGCUGAGGAGCGAAAGCAUGGGGAGCGAACAGGAUUAGAUACCCUGGUAGUCCAUGCCGUAAACGUUGGGCGCUAGGUG
This 738-nucleotide ribosomal RNA is filed under the name Nocardiopsis sp. RNAcentral's name for it is "bacterial SSU rRNA". It matches the Rfam family "Bacterial small subunit ribosomal RNA", at positions 83 to 822 of the family's 1533-position model. The record is from RNAcentral. Lineage: Bacteria; Bacillati; Actinomycetota; Actinomycetes; Streptosporangiales; Nocardiopsidaceae.